RNAcentral lists this long non-coding RNA (944 nucleotides) under Pan troglodytes (chimpanzee). RNAcentral describes it as "long non-coding RNA NONPTRT006982". Lineage: Eukaryota; Metazoa; Chordata; Mammalia; Primates; Hominidae. The record is from RNAcentral.
GCUGGUCUUGAACUCCUGGCCUCAAGGAAUCUGCCUGCCUUGGCCUCCCAAAGUGCUGGGAUUACAGGCCUGAGCCACCAUCCCUGACCCAACUAUUGUUUCUUAAAAAAACUCUUUUUAACCUUGCCUUUUUGUUAGGGUAGAAGGAUAGCUCAGAGCUUCAAAGUAAGAGCAGGACUAGACUAAGAACUGUCUGUGAUAUUUGACCAGAGGUGCAGCCUAGCUGCCAUUCUUCCUCACCCUGUGGAAGACAUUAAAGGGAGAAUGAAAGUAGCUGUAGAAUUACCUUUGGGGGAAGAAGCCAUUUGGUGAACUUGGCAAACACCCGUGUUUGAGGGGUCACCCAGGGUGUCAUGAGCCGGGCUGAAGGGGAUGGAUUAAUUACUUGUCUUGUUUGCUUGUUUCUGUUGUAAGUCAGGGCCCCUCAGCAGAAGGCAGAACAGAACCGAGUUCCUUUAGAAUGCUGGUUUUUGUGUGGAGUGAGGAAGGACCGUGAGUGUGGUCAGUUUCCAACCUGACAGGUCCUGCUACCGUUGGCCAGGACUGCAGCUUGUUACUUUGACCCUGGGAAGAAGGUAAGUGUUCCCAAGAAAAGGGACGUCCCAAAGCGGCGCCAUCCCGAUGGCACGUGUGCUGCUCGACUCCCUGCCGGGUAGGUCCAUCCCGACGGCGCAUGUGCCCCUCAGCUCCCCCCACCGGGUAGGUCCAUCCCAACAGCACCUGUGCUGCUCAACUCCCUGCCGGGUAGGUCCAUCCCGACGGUGCAUGUGCCCCUCAGCUCCCCGCCGGGUAGGCCCAUCCCGACAGCACCUGUGCCCCUCAGCUCCCCACCGGGUAGGUCCAUCCCGACAGCACCUGUGCCCCUCACCUCCCUGCCGGGUAGGUCCAUCCCGACAGCACCUGUGCCGCUCGACUCCCUGCCGGGUAGGUCCAUCCCGACGGUG